This 107-nucleotide small nuclear RNA is filed under the name Piliocolobus tephrosceles (Ugandan red Colobus). The record is from RNAcentral. Lineage: Eukaryota; Metazoa; Chordata; Mammalia; Primates; Cercopithecidae.
GUGCUUGCUUUGGCAGCACAUAUACUAAAAUUCAAAUGAUGUAGAGAAGAUUAGUGUGGCCCCUGUGCAAGGAUGACAAACAAAUUCAUGAAGGGUUCCAGUUAAAA